This is a long non-coding RNA of Populus euphratica (Euphrates poplar), 660 nucleotides long. RefSeq lists it as uncharacterized. The transcript has 2 exons. NCBI's taxonomy places the organism in Eukaryota, Viridiplantae, Streptophyta, Magnoliopsida, Malpighiales, Salicaceae. The record is from RefSeq and is a predicted model, not a curated record.
UAAUUCUAGUCGGUAGAAAGAAGAAAACACUAGCAGAAAAAAAGUCCCGUAUGCAUUCUUCUAUUGAAGCUAAAGAGGAUUUAACAUCAGAAAAGAGAGAGCAAUGCUCCGAAGCAUGCCCCUCACCCACAUACCAGAUGAGUGUUUUUUUUUUAAAAAAAAAACACAUACCAGAUGAGUCGAGUCUGGGAGUUGAGGGGUAACAGGUAUUCCCAUGUUCAAUUGCCAUCCAGUUCAAUUAUAAUAAAACAAACAGAGAGAGACCAUGUCCAAUAAAGAAGCAAUGCCACAAUUUUAUGAGCCACAGAUCAAGAAGGAGCAAUAAAAUAAAGCACUAGCCUAGAAGCCCCAAUUUUUUAGGCCAUGUGCUACUUUUUUUUCAUCCCUUGGUAAGUAAAAUAUGCAUUUGCAAGCUAUUGUAGAGCCGCAAAAUUCUCAUUGAGAGUUCAUAAACCAUUAAGUAUUGAUUGUUAUAAACACAAGACAUUGCCAUACAAGAUUGAACCAAGGCACUGAAAAAAGUCAUGAUGACGUAUGAUCAAAGCAGAUGUAUGAACUUGCAAGGUGCAGCCAACAGCCCAACAUGAAAGGUGAACAUCUUAUAUAAUAUCAAAUUGAAGAGUUUUGAAUGCAGUACAGAGAUAUCUUAUAUAAUAUCCA